Mirounga angustirostris (Northern elephant seal) is the source of this 106-nucleotide small nuclear RNA. The record is from RefSeq and is a predicted model, not a curated record. NCBI's taxonomy places the organism in Eukaryota, Metazoa, Chordata, Mammalia, Carnivora, Phocidae.
GUGUUCGCAUUGGCAGCACAUGUACUAAAUUGGAACGCUACGGAGAAGAAUAGCACGGCCCCUGCACAAGGGUGACACGCAAAUUAGUGAAGUGUUGCAUAUUUUU